GGGAUUAGUUUUUUUUCUUUUUCUUUUUUUCAUUUUUUCCUUCAAGUUUUUCAUUGCAUUUCUUUUGAAAAAUAAACAUGCUAUGAUGCACAUGAUGCAGACACGACUGGCAAGUUGUGCAUCUCUGAACAUAGGAUCGAAGCUUCGGCUCGAACUCUGAACAACAAUUCAUCUGAAACCCAAAGUCAACUGGUCAACCGUCAUCUGAACCCAAUCUGAGAAUACUGAGUCACCAACAGAACUCUG
This 246-nucleotide long non-coding RNA is filed under the name Lathyrus oleraceus (garden pea). Its description in RNAcentral is "Pisum sativum (pea) long non-coding RNA (PSAT_LNC023488)". Lineage: Eukaryota; Viridiplantae; Streptophyta; Magnoliopsida; Fabales; Fabaceae. The record is from RNAcentral.